Molecule: ribosomal RNA, 468 nt
Filed under: uncultured bacterium
Lineage: Bacteria
Description: partial 16S ribosomal RNA
Rfam family: Bacterial small subunit ribosomal RNA
Source: RNAcentral
GAUGAACGCUGGCGGCGUGCUUAACACAUGCAAGUCGAACGGAAAGGCCCAAGCUUGCUUGGGUACUCGAGUGGCGAACGGGUGAGUAACACGCGGGUGAUCUGCCCUGCACUUCGGGAUAAGCCUGGGAAACUGGGUCUAAUACCGGAUAGGACGAUGGUUUGGAUGCCAUUGUGGAAAGUUUUUUCGGUGUGGGAUGAGCUCGCGGCCUAUCAGCUUGUUGGUGGGGUAAUGGCCUACCAAGGCGUCGACGGGUAGCCGGCCUGAGAGGGUGUACGGCCACAUUGGGACUGAGAUACGGCCCAGACUCCUACGGGAGGCAGCAGUGGGGAAUAUUGCACAAUGGGCGCAAGCCUGAUGCAGCGACGCCGCGUGGGGGAUGACGGCCUUCGGGUUGUAAACUCCUUUCGCUAGGGACGAAGCGUUUUUGUGACGGUACCUGGAGAAGAAGCACCGGCUAACUACGUG